UGUGGACCUUCGGGUGAGGUGAGUACUCCGUAC
This 33-nucleotide ribosomal RNA is filed under the name Trichoderma harzianum. RNAcentral's name for it is "partial 28S ribosomal RNA". The record is from RNAcentral. Lineage: Eukaryota; Fungi; Ascomycota; Sordariomycetes; Hypocreales; Hypocreaceae.